GUUCGACCCGUAUCACCAGAACGCGCCGAGAAUGAGCACGAACGAGCGGAGAGGACCUUUCUGAGGAGGGUAAUUUGGCGUUUGUUGUCGAUAUUUGGAGAGGAGGAUCGUUGCGACGCGAAGAAAAGGGGAGGAGGACGAUAUACAUACACCGCACACACUCGAGGAAGAGGACGCACGGACCUUACUACCUAUCUUGUUUUCUCCAGGCUGAUCUACCUACCUAUCUCUGUCUUUCACCACACCGCAUUCGUUGCACGCUGCUAUCGCAUUCUUCUGUGCAUUCGCGAUUACUCCUUGCGUGUG
RNAcentral lists this unclassified non-coding RNA (306 nucleotides) under Hevea brasiliensis (rubber tree). The record is from RNAcentral. Lineage: Eukaryota; Viridiplantae; Streptophyta; Magnoliopsida; Malpighiales; Euphorbiaceae.